AUGCAAUUGAGGUUGAUGACUGCUGUGGAGU
Molecule: non-coding RNA, 31 nt
Filed under: Rattus norvegicus (Norway rat)
Lineage: Eukaryota; Metazoa; Chordata; Mammalia; Rodentia; Muridae
Source: RNAcentral